RNAcentral lists this ribosomal RNA (429 nucleotides) under Bacteroidota bacterium. Its description in RNAcentral is "Bacteroidetes bacterium partial 16S ribosomal RNA". It matches the Rfam family "Bacterial small subunit ribosomal RNA", at positions 355 to 776 of the family's 1533-position model. Lineage: Bacteria; Pseudomonadati; Bacteroidota. The record is from RNAcentral.
UAGGGAAUCUUCGGCAAUGGGGGGAACCCUGACCGAGCAACGCCGCGUGAGUGAAGAAGGUUUUCGGAUCGUAAAGCUCUGUUGUUAAGGAAGAACGAGUGUGAGAAUGGAAAGUUCAUACUGUGACGGUACUUAACCAGAAAGGGACGGCUAACUACGUGCCAGCAGCCGCGGUAAUACGUAGGUCCCGAGCGUUGUCCGGAUUUAUUGGGCGUAAAGCGAGCGCAGGCGGUUAGAAAAGUCUGAAGUGAAAGGCAGUGGCUCAACCAUUGUAGGCUUUGGAAACUGUUUAACUUGAGUGCAGAAGGGGAGAGUGGAAUUCCAUGUGUAGCGGUGAAAUGCGUAGAUAUAUGGAGGAACACCAGUGGCGAAGGCGACUCUCUGGUCUGUAACUGACGCUGAGGCUCGAAAGCGUGGGGAGCGAACAGG